UCCGGGGUGCGGACAGUGUCUGGUGGGUAGUUUGACUGGGGCGGUCUCCUCCCAAAGAGUAACGGAGGAGCACGAAGGUCAGCUAAUCACGGUCGGACAUCGUGAGGUUAGUGCAAUGGCAUAAGCUGGCUUGACUGCGAGAGUGACGGCUCGAGCAGGUGCGAAAGCAGGUCAUAGUGAUCCGGUGGUUCUGAAUGGAAGGGCCAUCGCUCAACGGAUAAAAGGUACUCCGGGGAUAACAGGCUGAUACCGCCCAAGAGUUCAUAUCGACGGCGGUGUUUGGCACCUCGAUGUCGGCUCAUCACAUCCUGGGGCUGAAGUAGGUCCCAAGGGUACGGCUGUUCGCCGUUUAAAGUGGUACGCGAGCUGGGUUUAGAACGUCGUGAGACAGUUCGGUCCCUAUCUGCCGUGGGCGCUGGAGAAUUGAGGGGGGUUGCUCCUAGUACGAGAGGACCGGAGUGAACGCACCACUGGUGUUCGGGUUGUCAUGCCAAUGGCACUGCCCGGUAGCUAAGUGCGGAAAAGAUAAGUGCUGAAAGCAUCUAAGCACGAAACUUGCCCCGAGAUGAGUUCUCCCUGACCCCUUGAGGGUCCUGAAGGGACGUUGAAGACGACGACGUUGAUAGGCCGGGUGUGUAAGCGCAGCGAUGCGUUGAGCUAACCGGUACUAAUGACCCGUGAGGCUUAACCUUACAACGCCAGAGGCGUUU
Molecule: ribosomal RNA, 710 nt
Filed under: Pantoea sp. ARC270
Lineage: Bacteria; Pseudomonadati; Pseudomonadota; Gammaproteobacteria; Enterobacterales; Erwiniaceae
Description: bacterial LSU rRNA
Rfam family: Bacterial large subunit ribosomal RNA
Source: RNAcentral